GAUGAACGCUAGCUACAGGCUUAACACAUGCAAGUCGAGGGGAAACGACAUCGAAAGCUUGCUUUUGAUGGGCGUCGACCGGCGCACGGGUGAGUAACGCGUAUCCAACCUGCCCACCACUUGGGAAUAACCUUGCGAAAGUAAGACUAAUACCCAAUGAUAUCCCACGAAGGCAUCCGAAUGGGAUUAAAGAUUUAUCGGUGAUGGAUGGGGAUGCGUCUGAUUAGCUUGUUGGCGGGGUAACGGCCCACCAAGGCAACGAUCAGUAGGGGUUCUGAGAGGAAGGUCCCCCCACAUUGGAACUGAGACACGGUCCAAACUCCUACGGGAGGCAGCAGUGAGGAAUAUUGGUCAAUGGGCGAGAGCCUGAACCAGCCAAGUAGCGUGCAGGAUGACGGCCCUAUGGGUUGUAAACUGCUUUUAUGCGGGGAUAAAGUGUGGGACGUGUCCCAUAUUGUAGGUACCGCAUGAAUAAGGACCGGCUAAUUCCGUG
Molecule: ribosomal RNA, 493 nt
Filed under: uncultured bacterium
Lineage: Bacteria
Description: bacterial SSU rRNA
Rfam family: Bacterial small subunit ribosomal RNA
Source: RNAcentral